RNAcentral lists this ribosomal RNA (887 nucleotides) under uncultured Candidatus Saccharibacteria bacterium. RNAcentral describes it as "bacterial SSU rRNA". It matches the Rfam family "Bacterial small subunit ribosomal RNA", at positions 571 to 1482 of the family's 1533-position model. Lineage: Bacteria; Candidatus Saccharimonadota. The record is from RNAcentral.
GUAGGUGGCAGAGUAUGUCUGUAGUGAAAGCGUGUGGCUCAACCAUAUACACAUUACAGAAACUGCUCAGCUAGAGGGCGAGAGAGGUUACUAGAAUUCCUAGUGUAGGAGUGAAAUCCGUAGAUAUUAGGAGGAAUACCGAUGGCGUAGGCAGGUAACUGGCUCGUCCCUGACACUAAGGCACGAAAGCGUGGGGAGCAAACGGGAUUAGAUACCCCGGUAGUCCACGCUGUAAACGAUGGAUGCUAGCUGUAAGAGGUAUCGACCCCUCUUGUAGCGAAGCUAACGCGUUAAGCAUCCCGCCUGUGGAGUACGGUCGCAAGACUAAAUCAUAAAGGAAUUGACGGGGACCCGCACAAGCGGUGGAGCGUGUUGUUUAAUUCGAUGGUAAACGAAGAACCUUACCCAGGUUUGACAUCCUUGGAAUUUUGCCGAAAGGCGAGAGUGCUUUAUUGAGCCAAGUGACAGGUGUUGCAUGGCCGUCGUCAGCUCGUGUCGUGAGAUGUUUGGUUAAGUCCAUCAACGAGCGCAACCCUUAUAGUCUGUUGUAUUUUUCAGGCUAGACUGCCCCGGUAACGGGGAGGAAGGAGGGGAUGAUGUCAGGUCAGUAUUACACUUACAUCUGGGGCUACAAACACGCUACAAUGGCCGGUACAAAGGGCAGCCAAGUCGCGAGACGGAGCAAAUCCCAUCAAAGCCGGUCCCAGUUCAGAUUGCAGGCUGAAACUCGCCUGCAUGAAGUCGGAAUCGCUAGUAACGGUAGGUCAGCUAUACUACCGUGAAUACGUUCCCGGGUCUUGUACACACCGCCCGUCAAACCAUGAAAGUCACCAAUACCUGACGUGUUGCCUUCGCGCAGCCCUAAGGUAGGGGGGAUGAUUGGGGUU